GGGUUGUGAGGUUAAGCGACUAAGCGUACACGGUGGAUGCCCCGCAGUCAGAGGCGAUGAAGGACGCUAAUCUGCGAUAAGCGUCGGUGAGGUGAUAUGAACCGUUAUAACCGGCGAUUUCCGAAUGGGGAAACCCAGUGUGUUUCGACACACUAUCAUUAACUGAAUCCAUAGGUUAAUGAGGCGAACCGGGGAACUGAAACAUCUAAGUACCCCGAGGAAAAGAAAUCAACCGAGAUUCCCCAGUAGCGGCGAGCGAACGGGGAGGAGCCCAGAGCCUGAAUCAGUGUGUGUGUUAGUGGAAGCGUCUGGAAGGCGCGCGAUACAGGGUGACAGCCCCGUACACAAAAUGCACAUACUGUGAGCUCGAUGAGUAGGGCGGGACACGUGGUAUCCUGUCUGAAUAUGGGGACCAUCCUCCAAGGCUAAAUACUCCUGACUGACCGAUAGUGAACCAGUACCGUGAGGGAAAGGCGAAAAGAACCCCGGCGAGGGGAGUGAAAAGAACCUGAAACCGUGUACGUACAAGCAGUGGGAGCCUCUUAAUGGGGUGACUGCGUACCUUUUGUAUAAUGGGUCAGCGACUUAUAUUCUGUAGCAAGGUUAACCGAAUAGGAGCCGAAGGGAAACCGAGUCUUAACUGGGCGUUAAGUUGCAGGGUAUAGACCCGAAACCCGGUGAUUCAGCCAUGGGCAGGUUGAAGGUUGGGUAACACUAACUGGAGGACCGAACCGACUAAUGUUGAAAAAUUAGCGGAUGACUUGUGGCUGGGGUGAAAGGCCAAUCAAACCGGGAGAUAGCUGGUUCUCCCGAAAGCUAUUUAGGUAGCGCCUCGUGAAUUCAUCUCCGGGGUAGAGCACUGUUUCGGCAAGGGUCAUCCCGACUUACCAACCCGAUGCAAACUGCGAAUACCGGAGAAUGUUAUCACGGGAGACACACGGCGGGUGCUAACGUCCGUCGUGAAGAGGGAAACAACCCAGACCGCCAGCUAAGGUCCCAAAGUCAUGGUUAAGUGGGAAACGAUGUGGGAAGGCCCAGACAGCCAGAUGUUGGCUUAGAAGCAGCCAUCAUUUAAAGAAAGCGUAAUAGCUCACUGGUCGAGUCGGCCUGCGCGGAAGAUGUAACGGGCUAAACCAUGCACCGAAGCUGCGGCAGCGACGCUUAUGCGUUGUUGGGUAGGGGAGCGUUCUGUAAGCCUGUGAAGGUGGCCUGUGAGGGUUGCUGGAGGUAUCAGAAGUGCGAAUGCUGACAUAAGUAACGAUAAAGCGGGUGAAAAGCCCGCUCGCCGGAAGACCAAGGGUUCCUGUCCAACGUUAAUCGGGGCAGGGUGAGUCGACCCUAAGGCGAGGCCGAAAGGCGUAGUCGAUGGGAAACAGGUUAAUAUUCCUGUACUUGGUGUUACUGCGAAGGGGACGGAGAAGGCUAUGUUGGCCGGGCGACGGUUGUCCCGGUUUAAGCGUGUAGGCUGGUUUUCCGUGCAAAUCCGGAAAAUCAAGGCUGAGGCGUGAUGACGAGGCACUACGGUGCUGAAGCGACAAAUGCCCUGCUUCCGUGAAAAGCCUCUAAGCAUCAGGUAACAUUAAAUCGUACCCCAAACCGACACAGGUGGUCAGGUAGAGAAUACCAAGGCGCUUGAGAGAACUCGGGUGAAGGAACUAGGCAAAAUGGUGCCGUAACUUCGGGAGAAGGCACGCUGAUAUGUAGGUGAAGCGACUUGCUCGUGGAGCUGAAAUCAGUCGAAGAUACCAGCUGGCUGCAACUGUUUAUUAAAAACACAGCACUGUGCAAACACGAAAGUGGACGUAUACGGUGUGACGCCUGCCCGGUGCCGGAAGGUUAAUUGAUGGGGUUAGCGGUAACGCGAAGCUCUUGAUCGAAGCCCCGGUAAACGGCGGCCGUAACUAUAACGGUCCUAAGGUAGCGAAAUUCCUUGUCGGGUAAGUUCCGACCUGCACGAAUGGCGUAAUGAUGGCGGCUGUCUCCACCCGAGACUCAGUGAAAUUGAACUCGCUGUGAAGAUGCAGUGUACCCGCGGCAAGACGGAAAGACCCCGUGAACCUUUACUAUAGCUUGACACUGAACAUUGAGCCUUGAUGUGUAGGAUAGGUGGGAGGCUUUGAAGUGUGGACGCCAGUCUGCAUGGAGCCGACCUUGAAAUACCACCCUUUAAUGUUUGAUGUUCUAACGUGGGCCCCUUACCGGGGUUGCGGACAGUGUCUGGUGGGUAGUUUGACUGGGGCGGUCUCCUAAAGAGUAACGGAGGAGCACGAAGGUUGGCUAAUCUGGUCGGACAUCAGGAGGUUAGUGCAAUGGCAUAAGCCAGCUUGACUGCGAGCGUGACGGCGCGAGCAGGUGCGAAAGCAGGUCAUAGUGAUCCGGUGGUUCUGAAUGGAAGGGCCAUCGCUCAACGGAUAAAAGGUACUCCGGGGAUAACAGGCUGAUACCGCCCAAGAGUUCAUAUCGACGGCGGUGUUUGGCACCUCGAUGUCGGCUCAUCACAUCCUGGGGCUGAAGUAGGUCCCAAGGGUAUGGCUGUUCGCCAUUUAAAGUGGUACGCGAGCUGGGUUUAGAACGUCGUGAGACAGUUCGGUCCCUAUCUGCCGUGGGCGCUGGAGAACUGAGGGGGGGCUGCUCCUAGUACGAGAGGACCGGAGUGGACGCAUCACUGGUGUUCGGGUUGUCAUGCCAAUGGCACUGCCCGGUAGCUAAAUGCGGAAGAGAUAAGUGCUGAAAGCAUCUAAGCACGAAACUUGCCCCGAGAUGAGUUCUCCCUGACUCCUUGAGAGUCCUGAAGGAACGUUGAAGACGACGACGUUGAUAGGCCGGGGUGUAAGCGCAGCGAUGCGUUGAGCUAACCGGUACUAAUGAACCGUGAGGCUUAACCUUACAACGCCGAAGGUGUUU
This 2904-nucleotide ribosomal RNA is filed under the name Escherichia coli. RNAcentral's name for it is "23S ribosomal RNA". It matches the Rfam family "Bacterial large subunit ribosomal RNA". Lineage: Bacteria; Pseudomonadati; Pseudomonadota; Gammaproteobacteria; Enterobacterales; Enterobacteriaceae. The record is from RNAcentral.